UUAAGAGCUUGCUCUUAUGAAGUUAGCGGCGGACGGGUGAGUAACACGUGGGUAACCUGCCCAUAAGACUGGGAUAACUCCGGGAAACCGGGGCUAAUACCGGAUAACAUUUUGAACCGCAUGGUUCGAAAUUGAAAGGCGGCUUCGGCUGUCACUUAUGGAUGGACCCGCGUCGCAUUAGCUAGUUGGUGAGGUAACGGCUCACCAAGGCAACGAUGCGUAGCCGACCUGAGAGGGUGAUCGGC
This 245-nucleotide ribosomal RNA is filed under the name Bacillus cereus. RNAcentral's name for it is "partial 16S ribosomal RNA". It matches the Rfam family "Bacterial small subunit ribosomal RNA", at positions 72 to 308 of the family's 1533-position model. RNAcentral also lists the same sequence under 1 other name. The record is from RNAcentral. Lineage: Bacteria; Bacillati; Bacillota; Bacilli; Caryophanales; Bacillaceae.